This 460-nucleotide ribosomal RNA is filed under the name uncultured bacterium. Its description in RNAcentral is "partial 16S ribosomal RNA". It matches the Rfam family "Bacterial small subunit ribosomal RNA", at positions 338 to 795 of the family's 1533-position model. The record is from RNAcentral.
CCUACGGGUGGCAGCAGUGAGGAAUAUUGGUCAAUGGGCGCGAGCCUGAACCAGCCAAGUCGCGUGAGGGAAGACGGCCCUACGGGUUGUAAACCUCUUUUGCCGGGGAGCAACGGGCGCCACGUGUGGCUCCACUGAUAGUCCCCGUAGAAAAAGCAUCGGCUAACUCCGUGCCAGCAGCCGCGGUAAUACGGAGGAUGCGAGCGUUAUCCGGAUUUAUUGGGUUUAAAGGGUGCGUGGGGGGUGCGUAAGGUCAGUGUGCAAUUUGGGGGGCUCAACCCCUUCCCGCCAUUGAAACUGGCGCUCUUGAGUGGAAGAGAAGUAGGCGGAAUGCGUGGUGUAGCGGUGAAAUGCAUAGAUAUCACGCAGAACCCCGAUUGCGAAGGCAGCAUGCCGGCUUCCGACUGACGCUGAAGCACGAAAGCGUGGGGAUCGAACAGGAUUAGAUACCCGGGUAGUC